RNAcentral lists this ribosomal RNA (246 nucleotides) under uncultured bacterium. Its description in RNAcentral is "partial 16S ribosomal RNA". It matches the Rfam family "Bacterial small subunit ribosomal RNA", at positions 15 to 254 of the family's 1533-position model. The record is from RNAcentral.
GAUCAUGGCUCAGGACGAACGCUGGCGGCGCGCCUAACACAUGCAAGUCGAACGGAGCUGAGAGGAGCUUGCUUUUCCCAGCUUAGUGGCGAACGGGUGAGUAACGCGUGAGUAACCUGCCCUGGAGUGGGGGACAACAGUUGGAAACGACUGCUAAUACCGCAUAAGCCCACGGCCCGGCAUCGGGCUGAGGGAAAAGGAUUUAUUCGCUUCAGGAUGGACUCGCGUCCAAUUAGCUAGUUGGUG